GGGUCGAUGAUGACACUGCAAUGGGGCUGAAAAGAGGUGAUGUCUUAAAAAACAGGCUCAAUAGGAUUACGCUGAGGCCC
Heterocephalus glaber (naked mole-rat) is the source of this 80-nucleotide small nucleolar RNA. Its record names the gene SNORD115. It matches the Rfam family "Small nucleolar RNA SNORD115". Rfam says of the family: HBII-52 is a member of the C/D class of snoRNAs, which contain the C (UGAUGA) and D (CUGA) box motifs. HBII-52 is encoded in a tandemly repeated array with another C/D snoRNA, HBII-85, in the Prader-Willi syndrome (PWS) region of chromosome 15. HBII-52 is exclusively expressed in the brain but is absent in PWS patients. The record is from Ensembl. Lineage: Eukaryota; Metazoa; Chordata; Mammalia; Rodentia; Bathyergidae.